GGGUAAGUCUCAUACGAUCUGCUCCCUUAUAACUCCCCCAGGACAGGAAUGUAGCAAGGGCAUUAAGGUUGUAGCGAUGCGAUAUGAGUAGCUUACCCUUC
RNAcentral lists this signal recognition particle RNA (101 nucleotides) under Bacteroidales bacterium. RNAcentral describes it as "signal recognition particle sRNA small type". It matches the Rfam family "Bacteroidales small SRP". From Rfam's summary of the family: The non-coding component of the signal recognition particle in Bacteroides Lineage: Bacteria; Pseudomonadati; Bacteroidota; Bacteroidia; Bacteroidales. The record is from RNAcentral.